CACUCCUACGGGAGGCAGCAGUGGGGAAUAUUGCACAAUGGGCGCAAGCCUGAUGCAGCCAUGCCGCGUGUAUGAAGAAGGCCUUCGGGUUGUAAAGUACUUUCAGCGGGGAGGAAGGCAAUACGGUUAAUAACCGUGUUGAUUGACGUUACCCGCAGAAGAAGCACCGGCUAACUCCGUGCCAGCAGCCGCGGUAAUACGGAGGGUGCAAGCGUUAAUCGGAAUUACUGGGCGUAAAGCGCACGCAGGCGGUCUGUCAAGUCGGAUGUGAAAUCCCCGGGCUCAACCUGGGAACUGCAUUCGAAACUGGCAGGCUUGAGUCUUGUAGAGGGGGGUAGAAUUCCAGGUGUAGCGGUGAAAUGCGUAGAGAUCUGGAGGAAUACCGGUGGCGAAGGCGGCCCCCUGGACAAAGACUGACGCUCAGGUGCGAAAGCGUGGGGAGCAAACAGGAUUAGAUACCCCAGUAGUCCCA
RNAcentral lists this ribosomal RNA (472 nucleotides) under uncultured organism. Its description in RNAcentral is "partial 16S ribosomal RNA". It matches the Rfam family "Bacterial small subunit ribosomal RNA", at positions 334 to 797 of the family's 1533-position model. The record is from RNAcentral.